Molecule: ribosomal RNA, 490 nt
Filed under: uncultured bacterium
Lineage: Bacteria
Description: partial 16S ribosomal RNA
Rfam family: Bacterial small subunit ribosomal RNA
Source: RNAcentral
AUUGAACGCUGGCGGCAGGCCUAACACAUGCAAGUCGAACGGUAACAGGAAGCAGCUUGCUGCUUUGCUGACGAGUGGCGGACGGGUGAGUAAUGUCUGGGAAACUGCCUGAUGGAGGGGGAUAACUACUGGAAACGGUAGCUAAUACCGCAUAACGUCGCAAGACCAAAGGGGGGGACCUUAGGGCCUCUUGCCAUCGGAUGUGCCCAGAUGGGAUUAGCUAGUAGGUGGGGUAACGGCUCACCUAGGCGACGAUCCCUAGCUGGUCUGAGAGGAUGACCAGCCACACUGGAACUGAGACACGGUCCAGACUCCUACGGGAGGCAGCAGUGGGGAAUAUUGCACAAUGGGCGCAAGCCUGAUGCAGCCAUGCCGCGUGUAUGAAGAAGGCCUUCGGGUUGUAAAGUACCUUCAGCGGGGAGGAAGGGAGUAAAGUUAAUACCUUUGCUCAUUGACGUUACCCGCAGAAGAAGCACCGGCUAACUCCGUG